AAGUCGUAACAAGGUUUCCGUAGGUGAACCUGCGGAAGGAUCAUUAACAAACACAACAAACACUUGGCUGGGGCGUGUUUUGCUUUGUUUUUCUUUUCUUUAGCAAUAAAGCAAAAGUAGAGUAAGGUGAAGCAAGGUGCGCGCUGUGCCAUCAACCUUUGUGAAUCGGGCGCAUGGCCGGCAGCAGUUCAGCAAUGAGCUGUUGUUGCCUUGCGCUUAGUCGGGAAUGCAAUGGAAUGGAAUAGAGUAGAAGAGAAUAGAAAAGAAUGGAAUGUAUUUUAUUAUAUAAUAUAAUACAAUUCAUUCUGCUUUAUUCUAUUUUGUUUUGUUUUAUUUUAUUUAUUCAAGUCUGAAUUCUUUGUCGAAAGACUAAAGCAAUAAUGCAAUGCAAUACAACUUUUAACAAUGGAUCUCUAGGCUCUU
This 423-nucleotide unclassified non-coding RNA is filed under the name fungal sp. Its description in RNAcentral is "partial internal transcribed spacer region". The stretch from base 1 to 46 matches the Rfam family "Eukaryotic small subunit ribosomal RNA", at positions 1786 to 1831 of the family's 1831-position model. Lineage: Eukaryota; Fungi. The record is from RNAcentral.